Non-coding RNA from Lentinula novae-zelandiae, 88 nucleotides. NCBI's taxonomy places the organism in Eukaryota, Fungi, Basidiomycota, Agaricomycetes, Agaricales, Omphalotaceae. The record is from the annotation of a GenBank genome assembly.
GGUUCGAUGGCGUAGUUGGUUAUCGCAUCUGUCUAACAUUUUCAACACCCAUUGCGACUUGCACACAGAAGGUCCCCGGGUCGAAUCA